Oncorhynchus tshawytscha (Chinook salmon) is the source of this 1722-nucleotide long non-coding RNA. Lineage: Eukaryota; Metazoa; Chordata; Actinopteri; Salmoniformes; Salmonidae. The record is from Ensembl.
GUCCUAUUCUUUCUGAGGGGACUGGGGGUAGAGAACCUCAUUCAGGGCAGGUCCUAGUCUUUCUGAGGGGACAGAGGGUAGAGAACCUCAUUCAGGGCAGGUCCUAUUCUUUCUGAGGGGACUGAGGGUAGAGGAGAACCUCGUUCAGGGCAGGUCCUAGUCUUUCUGAGGGGACUGAGGGUAGAGGAGAACCUCGUUCAGGGCAGGUCCUAGUCUUUCUGAGGGGACUGAGGGUAGAGGAGAACCUCGUUCAGGGCAGGUCCUAGUCUUUCUGAGGGGACUGGGGGUAGAGGAGAACCUCGUUCAGGGCAGGUCCUAUUCUGUCUGAGGGUAGAGGAGAACCUUAUUCAGGGCAGGUCCUAUUCUGUCUGAGGGGACUGGGGGUAGAGGAGAACCUCGUUCAGGGCAGGUCCUAUUCUUUCUGAGGGGACAGAGGGUAGAGGAGAACCUCGUUCAGGGCAGGUCCUAUUCUGUCUGAGGGGACUGGGGGUAGAGGAGAACCUCGUUCAGGGCAGGUCCUAUUCUUUCUGAGGGGACUGGGGGUAGAGGAGAACCUCAUUCAGGGCAGGUCCUAUUCUUUCUGAGGGGACAGAGGGUAGAGGAGAACCUCGUUCAGGGCAGAUCCUAUUCUUUCUGAGGGGACUGAGGGUAGAGGAGAACCUCGUUCAGGGCAGGUCCUAUUCUGUCUGAGGGGACUGGGGGUAGAGGAGAACCUCGUUCAGGGCAGGUCCUAUUCUUUCUGAGGGGACUGGGGGUAGAGGAGAACCUCAUUCAGGGCAGGUCCUAGUCUUUCUGAGGGGACUGAGGGUAGAGGAGAACCUCGUUCAGGGCAGGUCCUAUUCUGUCUGAGGGUAGAGGAGAACCUUAUUCAGGGCAGGUCCUAUUCUGUCUGAGGGGACUGGGGGUAGAGGAGAACCUCGUUCAGGGCAGGUCCUAUUCUUUCUGAGGGGACUGGGGGUAGAGGAGAACCUCAUUCAGGGCAGGUCCUAUUCUUUCUGAGGGGACUGGGGGUAGAGGAGAACCUUAUUCAGGGCAGGUCCUAUUCUGUCUGAGGGGACUGGGGGUAGAGGAGAACCUCGUUCAGGGCAGGUCCUAUUCUUUCUGAGGGGGACUGGGGGUAGAGGAGAACCUCGUUCAGGGCAGGUCCUAUUCUUUCUGAGGGGACUGGGGGUAGAGGAGAACCUCGUUCAGGGCAGGUCCUAUUCUUUCUGAGGGGACUGGGGGUAGAGGAGAACCUCGUUCAGGGCAGGUCCUAUUCUGUCUGAGGGGACUGGGGGUAGAGAACCUCAUUCAGGGCAGGUCCUAUUCUGUAUGAGGGGGCUGAGAGUAGAGGAGAACCUUAUUCAGGGCAGGUCCUAUUCUGUCUGAGGGGACUGAGGGUAGAGAACCUUGUUCAGGGCAGGUCCUAUUCUGUCUGAGGGGACUGGGGGUAGAGAACCUUAUUCAGGGCAGGUCCAAUUCUGUAUGAGGGGACUGAGGGUAGAGGAGAACCUUGUUCAGGGCUUGAGUUCAUAAAGAAUAUCUGAUCUAGUCCGACCUCUUCUUAUUCAUAACAUCCUCCAUCAGCACUCCUACCGAAACACCAUGAAUAGAGGCCCUGACGUUCAGGACAUCCUGACAACGUUCUGAGGGACAGGGGUACCUGACAACGUUCUGAGGGACAACCUGACAACGUUCUGAGGGGCAGGGGUACCUGACAACGUUCUGAGGGACAGGGGUACC